This 1411-nucleotide long non-coding RNA is filed under the name Macaca fascicularis (crab-eating macaque). RNAcentral's name for it is "lncRNA (ENSMFAG00000047944.1)". Lineage: Eukaryota; Metazoa; Chordata; Mammalia; Primates; Cercopithecidae. The record is from RNAcentral.
UUUUUUUUUCUUUUUUUUUUGUGGGGGGAGUGGUUUUGUGACUAUCUCCUUCAAUUCUGCUCUGAUCUUAGUUGUUUCUUGUCUUCUGCUAGCUUUCGGAUUCGUUUGUUCUUGACUCUCUAGCUCUUUUAUUUGUGAUAUUAGGGUGUCAAUUUCAGAUCUUUCUAGCUUUCUGAUGUGAGCAUUUAGUGCUAUAAAUUUCCAUCUUAACACUGCUUUAGCUGUGUCCCAGAGAUUCUCGUUGUCUCUUUGCACUCAUUGGUUUCAAAGAAAUUUGUGAUUUCUGCCUUAAUUUCAUGUUUACCCAGGAGUCAUUCAGAAGCUGGCUGUUCAAUUUCCAUGUAAUUGUGUGGUUCUGAGUGAGUUUCUUAAUCCUGAGUUCUAAUUUGAUUGAGCUAUGGUCUGAGAGACUGUUUGUUGUGAUUUCAGUUCUUUUGCAUUUGCUGACAAGUGUUUUACUUCCAAUUAUGUGGUCAAUUUUAGGAUAAGUUCCAUGUGGCACUGAGAAGAAUGUAUAACCUGUUGAUUUGGGGUGGAGAGUUCUGUAAAUGUCUACUAGGUCCACUUGAUCCAGAGUUGAGUUCAAGUUUGAAUAUCCUUGUUAAUCUUAUGUCUUGUUAAUCUACCUAAUAUUGACUUGUAGGUCUCUAAGAACGUGUUUUAUGAAUCUGGGUGCUCCUGUAUUGGGUGCAUGUAUAUUUAGAAUAGUUAACUCUUCUCAUUGAAUUGUUCCCUUUACCAUUUUGUAAUGCCCUUCUUUGUCACUUUUUAAUAUUUGUUAGUUUAAAGACUGUUAUGUCAAAGACUGGGAUUGCAAUCCCUGCUUUUUUUUUUUAACUUCCUAUUUGCUUGGUAAAUUUUCCUCCAUCCUGUAUUUUGAGCCUAUGUGUGUCUUUGCACUUCAGAUGGGUCUUCUGAAUACAGCACACCAAUGAGUCUUGACUCUUUAUCCAAUUUUCCAGUCUGCCUUUUAGCCCAUUUACAUUUAACAUUGGCAUUGUUAUGUGUAAAUCUGAUCCUGUCAUCGUGAUGCUAGCUGGUUAUUUUGCACACUAGUUGAUGCAGUUUCUUCAUAGUGUCAUUGGUCUUUAUAUUUUGGUGUGUUUUUGCAGUGGCUGGUACCAGUUUUUCCUUUCCAUAUUUAGUGCUUCUUUCAGGAGCUCUUGCAAGGCAGGCCUGGUGCUAACAAAAUCCCUCAGCAUUUGCUUGUCUUGAAAGAAUUUUAUUUCUCCUUCACUUAUGAAACUCAGUUUGGCCGAAUGUAAAAUUCUGGAUUGAAAAUUCUUUCUUUAAGAAUGUUGAAUAUUGGCCUCCAAUCUAUUCUGGCUUGUAGGGUUUCUGCUGAGAUGUCCACUGUUAGUCUGAUGGGCUUCCCUUUGGAGGUGACGUGGCCUUUCUCUCUGGCUGCCCU